Malania oleifera is the source of this 75-nucleotide small nucleolar RNA. RefSeq annotates it as small nucleolar RNA R24. The transcript has a single exon. The record is from RefSeq and is a predicted model, not a curated record. Lineage: Eukaryota; Viridiplantae; Streptophyta; Magnoliopsida; Santalales; Ximeniaceae.
UGAGCAAUGAUGAAAAGCUAACGUGUGAGAAGAUCGUAUAUGAAAUAUACUUGUUACACUUGGCUUCUGAUUUUU